RNAcentral lists this ribosomal RNA (1359 nucleotides) under Pseudomyrmex dendroicus. RNAcentral's name for it is "large subunit ribosomal RNA". Lineage: Eukaryota; Metazoa; Arthropoda; Insecta; Hymenoptera; Formicidae. The record is from RNAcentral.
UUUUUGUAAAUUAAUCAUAUAUUUUAAUUAAAUCUAUAUAAAUUAAUUAUUUGGUUUAUUAAUUAAUUUUAUAAAAUUAUAUUUUUUAUGAAGUUUUUAACGUAAGUUAUAUUUAAUUUAAAAAAUUUAAAGUAUGAUUAUUUUUCAGUACCUUUUGUAUCAGGGUUUAUUAAAAGUUAUAAAAUUAUUUUUUUAAUUCUCGAAAGUGUAAUAGUUACAUAUUUAUGUAAGUUAAUGUUUCAUAAUUAUUUAAAAUGAAUAUGUGUAAGUGAAAUGCUAAAAGUUUACAUUGAUAUCUAGUUUUUACUUAAUUUAAUUUAAUUAAUUGUUCUAAUAAUAUUUUUUUUGGUUUUUAAUUAAACUAAUAAUUUUUGGUUUAAUUUAGUUAAGACUUAUGGUAAAUUUUUUUUAAUAAGAUUUUUACUUGUUAGUUCAAAAUAACUUUGGGUAUAACCUUAAAGUUUUGUUAAAAUUUGUAUUUAUAUGUGUUUAUUUAAUAUUACAGAUAAAAUUUUUGGUAUAUUGAGAUAAUUUAAUAAUUUAUUUAAGUUUAUUUUAUUUUUAUAUUUAUACAUAAUUUAAGAUUUAUUUUAGUUAUUUAAUUAUUUAGGUAAAUGAUUUUACGAAUUUGUUUAAAGAUGUAAUAAUGAUAAAAUUAGUAUAAAUUAUUUUAUUUUAUAAUAUUUAUAUAUAUGUAUAUUUAUUUAUAUUAUAAGUUUAUGAAUUAGGCAAGAAUAAGAUUUAUAUGUUUAUCAAAAACAUAUUCUUUUGUUUUAAAAAUUUAAGGUGGGCCCUGCUCAAUGAUUAAAAUUAAAUAGCCGCGGUAAUAUGACCGUGCGAAGGUAGCAUAAUAAUUUGCCUUUUAAUUGGGGGAUUGAAUGAAUGGGUUGAUAAAAUCUGUACUUUAUUAAUUUAUUUUUUUAUAAGUUAAAAUUUUAGUUAAAAUUCUAAAAUAUAAAGCAAAGGACGAGAAGACCCUAUAGAGUUUAAUAAAUAUUUUGUUUUUUUAUUAAUUUAUUUUAAAUGAAAUUGUUUAUUUAGUUGGGAUGAUUUAUAAAUUAAUAUAACUUUAUAAUUUAUACAUAACAAUAAUUAAUGAUUUUUUGAUUAUGUUUAUAUAUUUUGGAAUUAACUACCUUAGGGAUAACAGCGUAAUAAUUUUGGAUAGUUCAUAUAGAUAAAAGUGAUUGCGACCUCGAUGUUGAAUUAAGAUUGGAUUAUUAGAAGAUUAAUAAUUUUUGAGUCUGUUCGACUUUACAAUCUUACAUGAUUUGAGUUCAGAUCGGCGUGAGCCAGAUCGGUUUCUAUCCUUGUUAAAAUAUAAUUAAUUUUUGUACGAGAGGACUAGAUUAGUUAAAU